Molecule: microRNA, 21 nt
Filed under: Lotus japonicus
Lineage: Eukaryota; Viridiplantae; Streptophyta; Magnoliopsida; Fabales; Fabaceae
Description: lja-miR11106-3p
Source: miRBase by way of RNAcentral
UAAGAACAGGAUAUGAUAAGG